AAAAGCUAUUGCGGUUUUGGCUGCCAAAAGAAAUGGCCAAAACCGCAGUAACUUUUGU
Gorilla gorilla gorilla (western lowland gorilla) is the source of this 58-nucleotide microRNA precursor. The record is from Ensembl. NCBI's taxonomy places the organism in Eukaryota, Metazoa, Chordata, Mammalia, Primates, Hominidae.